GGGCGAUUAGCUCAGCUGGGAGAGCACCUGCCUUACAAGCAGGGGGUCGGCGGUUCGAUCCCGUCAUCGCCCA
This is a non-coding RNA of Clostridiaceae bacterium BRH_c20a, 73 nucleotides long. NCBI's taxonomy places the organism in Bacteria, Bacillati, Bacillota, Clostridia, Eubacteriales, Clostridiaceae. The record is from Rfam.